GAUGAACGCUGGCGGCGUGCCUAAUACAUGCAAGUCGAGCGAACGGACGAGAAGCUUGCUUCUCUGAUGUUAGCGGCGGGCGGGUGAGUAACACGUGGAUAACCUACCUAUAAGACUUGGAUAACUUCGGGAAACCGGAGCUAAUACCGGAUAAUAUUUUGAACCGCAUGGUUCAAAAGUGAAUGACGGUCUUGCUGUCACUUAUAGAUGGAUUCGCGAUGCAUUAGCUAGUUGGUAAGGUAACGGCUUACCAAGGCAACGAUGCAUAGCCGACCUGAGAGGGUGAGCGGCCACACUGGAACUGAGACACGGUCCAGACUACUACGGGAGGCAGCAGUAGGGAAUCUUACGCAAUGGGCGAAAGCCUGACGGAGCAACGCCGCGUGAGUGAUGAAGGUCUUCGGAUCGUAAAACUCUGUUAUUAGGGAAGAACAUAUGUGUAAGUAACUGUGCACAGCUUGACGGUACCUAAUCAGAAAGCCACGGCUAACUACGUG
This 497-nucleotide ribosomal RNA is filed under the name uncultured bacterium. Its description in RNAcentral is "partial 16S ribosomal RNA". It matches the Rfam family "Bacterial small subunit ribosomal RNA", at positions 28 to 507 of the family's 1533-position model. The record is from RNAcentral.